Molecule: transfer RNA, 72 nt
Filed under: Ictidomys tridecemlineatus (thirteen-lined ground squirrel)
Lineage: Eukaryota; Metazoa; Chordata; Mammalia; Rodentia; Sciuridae
Description: Spermophilus tridecemlineatus (thirteen-lined ground squirrel) tRNA
Rfam family: tRNA
About the family: Transfer RNA (tRNA) molecules are approximately 80 nucleotides in length.
Source: Rfam by way of RNAcentral
GGUGUUGUGGCUCAGUGCUAGAGCACUCACCUAGCAUGUGUGAGGCCCUGGGUUCAAUCCUCAGCACCACAU